Molecule: ribosomal RNA, 375 nt
Filed under: uncultured bacterium
Lineage: Bacteria
Description: bacterial SSU rRNA
Rfam family: Bacterial small subunit ribosomal RNA
Source: RNAcentral
GAUAACGUUCCGAAAGGGACGCUAAUACCGCAUGAUGUUCCGGGUUUGAAGACCUGGAACCAAGCCGGGACGCAGCUGCGCUCAGGAGGAGCCGCGUCUGAUUAGCUAGUUGGCGGGGUAAGUGGCCCACCAAGGCGACGAUCAGUAGCCGGCCUGAGAGGGCGGACGGCCACACUGGGACUGAGACACGGCCCAGACUCCUACGGGAGGCAGCAGUGGGGAAUUGUUCGCAAUGGGCGCAAGCCUGACGACGCAACGCCGCGUGGAGGAUGAAGGUCUUCGGAUUGUAAACUCCUGUUGAUCGGGACGAAAAGCUUCGACCUAACACGUCGAGGACUGACGGUACCAGUUGAGGAAGCCACGGCUAACUCUGUG